RNAcentral lists this ribosomal RNA (434 nucleotides) under uncultured bacterium. RNAcentral describes it as "partial 16S ribosomal RNA". It matches the Rfam family "Bacterial small subunit ribosomal RNA", at positions 29 to 507 of the family's 1533-position model. The record is from RNAcentral.
AGCGAACGCUGGCGGCAGGCCUAACACAUGCAAGUCGAACGAACCUUUCGGGGUUAGUGGCGGACGGGUGAGUAACACGUGGUAACGUGCCUUUAGGUUCGGAAUAACUCAGGGAAACUUGUGCUAAUACCGAAUGUGCCCUUCGGGGGAAAGAUUAAUCGCCUUUAGAGCGGCCCGCGUCUGAUUAGCUAGUUGGUUGAGGUAAUGGCUCACCAAGGCGACGAUCAGUAGCUGGUCUGAGAGGAUGAUCAGCCACAUUGGGACUGAGACACGGCCCAAACUCCUACGGGAGGCAGCAGUGGGGAAUCUUGCGCAAUGGGCGAAAGCCUGACGCAGCCAUGCCGCGUGAAUGAUGAAGGUCUUAGGAUUGUAAAAUUCUUUCACCGGGGACGAUAAUGACGGUACCCGGAGAAGAAGCCCCGGCUAACUUCGUG